CAAGUCGAGCGAACGGAUAAGGAGCUUGCUCCUUUGAAGUUAGCGGCGGACGGGUGAGUAACACGUGGGUAACCUACCUAUAAGACUGGAAUAACUUCGGGAAACCGGAGCUAAUGCCGGAUAACAUAUAGAACCGCAUGGUUCUAUAGUGAAAGAUGGUUUUGCUAUCACUUAUAGAUGGACCCGCGCCGUAUUAGCUAGUUGGUAAGGUAAUGGCUUACCAAGGCGACGAUACGUAGCCGACCUGAGAGGGUGAUCGGCCACACUGGAACUGAGACACGGUCCAGACUCCUACGGGAGGCAGCAGUAGGGAAUCUUCCGCAAUGGGCGAAAGCCUGACGGAGCAACGCCGCGUGAGUGAUGAAGGUUUUCGGAUCGUAAAACUCUGUUAUUAGGGAAGAACAAAUGCGUAAGUAACUGUGCGCAUCUUGACGGUACCUAAUCAGAAAGCCACGGCUAACUACGUGCCAGCAGCCGCGGUAAUACGUAGGUGGCAAGCGUUAUCCGGAAUUAUUGGGCGUAAAGCGCGCGUAGGCGGUUUCUUAAGUCUGAUGUGAAAGCCCACGGCUCAACCGUGGAGGGUCAUUGGAAACUGGGAAACUUGAGUGCAGAAGAGGAAAGUGGAAUUCCAUGUGUAGCGGUGAAAUGCGCAGAGAUAUGGAGGAACACCAGUGGCGAAGGCGACUUUCUGGUCUGUAACUGACGCUGAUGUGCGAAAGCGUGGGGAUCAAACAGGAUUAGAUACCCUGGUAGUCCACGCCGUAAACGAUGAGUGCUAAGUGUUAGGGGGUUUCCGCCCCU
RNAcentral lists this ribosomal RNA (801 nucleotides) under Staphylococcus succinus. Its description in RNAcentral is "bacterial SSU rRNA". It matches the Rfam family "Bacterial small subunit ribosomal RNA", at positions 58 to 841 of the family's 1533-position model. Lineage: Bacteria; Bacillati; Bacillota; Bacilli; Caryophanales; Staphylococcaceae. The record is from RNAcentral.